UGUUUCAUUGUUCAAACAAGCAAUCACUCUUUCUCCAUUAAUCCCAAAAAACUAUGAAGAAAUACUGUUUCAAUUCCAAAUGGUUUUUGUUACAUUUCCUCCGCCUGUGUCAUCUUUUAUGGAUAAUCACCUCAGCCUCAUCUGGUUUUGAAUCUGAUGAAUUGGCGUUACUUGAUUUCAAGAAACAAAUAACUCAAGAUCCCCUUCAAAUAAUGAGAUCCUGGAAUGCCUCUAUGCAUUUCUGCAAUUGGACCGGUGUUACAUGCAGUCCAACUAAUGGGAGGGUCACAAUCUUGAACUUGGAAUCGCAAAACUUGGUUGGCUCCCUCCCACCUUCUAUAGGAAACCUUACAUCUCUCACUGCUUUUAACCUUGGAAACAACAGCUUCCAUGGCGAAGUUCCUCCUGAAAUAGGCCGUUUACAGCACCUGCAGUAUCUCAACAUCACUGACAAUUACUUUGGUGGGAGUAUUCCAAUGAAUUUGUCCCUCUGUACAAAACUUAGAGUAAUUGAUGCUGCUGACAACCAGUUUAUUGGGCAGAUUCCGGACCAGAUUGAUUCAUUGUUGAAACUGGUGACGCUACUCCUUCCAGUUAACAAUCUUACAGGAAGAAUUCCUGCUUCAAUUGGGAAUCUUUCUUCUCUUGCCAUUCUAUCACUUUCAAGGAACAAUUUACAGGGCGGGAUACCCAAGGAAGUAGGACAGCUAUCAGGCAUCCGAUUUUUUCAACUUUCUCAAAAUAAUCUAUCUGGGAGGCAAGCAGGGGCACCAUUAGAGGAUUCUGAUCCUUCUUCGGAUCAAGGUUUUAGCUUCAAAAAGGUUUAUAAAUCUGUUGUAAAGAGACCCGUUGGCUUUUGCAAAUACAGUUAGCUUCUAUGAAGACACCCAACGCAAUUAUACUUAUUUCUAUUUUAAUUUUGCCAUUAUUCGACAUUGUUCUUUAAUCAUAACAACAAAUUACACUCAUAUGCACAGAUGUCUGUAUAACUUGUCUUGACGUCGUAGGGUUGAUUACUACUUGAAGCAGAGGCGAAAGUUUCGAUGUUUUUUCAGAAUUAGAGUUUGUCAUACACCCAGUUGGUCGACAUUGUCUGUAUCUACCCCUGCAUUGACGUCAUCAAGCAGUAUCGGAUCGAACGAGAUGAGUGAUUCUGUGGUCUGGUCUGUUGAGAUGACCCACAAAUUUCUAGUCCUGUUAUCUAAGCGAGCCAAAACUUCGCACGGUAUUGCAAUAAAAAGAGCUGAUUACCAAGAAAUGUUGGACGACAUAUCAUCACUGGCUGGCAAGAGACUCAACGUCAUACAAUUAACCUCUAAGUUCCUUCGCCUGCGAAAAGUUUAUCAAACACGGCAGAAAUUUCUGCAACACACGGGGUUCGGGUGGGAUCACGAGUCACAAAGUCCAACGUGUCCCGUUGAGGUUUGGCAAGAAUAUGUCAAGCAAAACCCAUUGGCGUAACAAUUUUACCACAAGGGACUUCCUCACAAGGAGUUUUAUAAAAUAAUAUUUAAGAAGCAAACUGCCAUUGGAAGAUAUGUGUACACAUCUACGUCCCAACCGGUAGAGACCUCUAGUUAUUCCAAUCACGGCGCGGUUCCCAUGGAUGAUAACAACUUUGAACCUGAUCCUGAUCGGACGACAGGGGAAAAACGGCCAAACACAUCUGGCCAUGGAAGAGCGAGAAAUGAGAGGAACAGAAGCGGCUCAGGACAAUCACUUGCGGAUGCCAUUUUUAGAUUGACGGACGAGCUUGCGGAGAAGUGGACUAUGGGAUCGAAGGCUAGCAAUCGUAGUGUAGAUGAGAGGGGAGAAGAGAACAUCAGUGCUCCAUUUGAUCUUUUUUCCAUGAGCAAUUGUAUUGACAUCAUGACAGCCAUGCAAGUACUAACACAGUUUUACUUGUCGGUUGUCACGUACUUAUAUGAAAAUCCAGGGUGGCGGGAGAUAUUCGUGAAACUCCCACUAGAGGAAAAAGGCUAACUGGAUUUAUAACAACUUUCCUAAUAAGUAGAUGACACUAUAUUUCAUAAGUAUUUGGCAACAAUUUUAUAUGCGUCAGUGGGUAGUUGUCAUUACAAUUACAAUUUAUAACGCUACUGUAUGAACUUAUUUAUGUGAUAUUACAUGUGUAAACACUGUUUUCGAUUGUCAUUACAAUUAAAUAUUGACUGUUAUAUUUUGCU
RNA transcript from Pistacia vera, 2186 nucleotides. It is a transcript of the gene named LRR receptor-like serine/threonine-protein kinase EFR, with no coding region annotated. The transcript has 6 exons. The record is from RefSeq and is a predicted model, not a curated record. NCBI's taxonomy places the organism in Eukaryota, Viridiplantae, Streptophyta, Magnoliopsida, Sapindales, Anacardiaceae.